This 268-nucleotide long non-coding RNA is filed under the name Micromonas commoda. Its description in RNAcentral is "long non-coding RNA (MCOM_LNC000485)". The record is from RNAcentral. Lineage: Eukaryota; Viridiplantae; Chlorophyta; Mamiellophyceae; Mamiellales; Mamiellaceae.
GACUGUCGAAAUAUACCCAGGCAUCACAGUGCAGCAUAUUAUAAUAUGCUUGUUCUUAGGCUUAAGCAAAGCGAUAUCCCGAAGGACUCUGCUGAGGGUUGAAGUAUCAUAGGCCUCUUCACCGACCCCUGUAGGCGUGGCCACCAAGAUGAAUAUCACACCUGCGUGCUCAACUACUUCUUUCAGAUUCAGGGUGGCGCGCAAUUUAGUUGAUGCACGCAAUGCCUCCUCGACCCCAGGCUCUGAGCUUUUGAGAGUCUUUGAGUUU